Molecule: non-coding RNA, 802 nt
Filed under: Onthophagus nr. babirussa
Lineage: Eukaryota; Metazoa; Arthropoda; Insecta; Coleoptera; Scarabaeidae
Source: RNAcentral
AGAAAAUUUGAUUUUUGUUUUUAAAUUUAAUUUAUAUUUUUAUUAUAUGUAAAUUUUUGUGUUAAGUAGGUAAUUUAAAAUAGUUAUUUAUUUAAUUUAUAGCAAUAAUAAAUUUUAUAUUAUAAAAGAAAUUUUGAUAUAGGAAUAUAUAAUUAUAUUGAUAAAAUUUGUGCCAGCAAUCGCGGUUAAACAGGUGAUAUAAUUAAAUUUUAUUUAAUAAUAAUAAAUAAGUUUAAAUUAAUUAAAAAUUAAAUUUAUUAGGUGAAAUUAUAAAUUUAAAUAAAAUUAAUAUAAAGAUUAUAAGGUUAUGAAAUUUUAAAAUUAAACUAGGAUUAGAUACCCUAUUAUAAAAAAUAUAAAUUAAAAUGUUAGGGGAGUAUUAGUUAUUAUCUUGAAAUUUAAAGAAUUUGGCGGUAUUUUAGUCUUUUCAGAGGAACCUGUCCUGUAAUUGAUAAUCCACGAUUAAUUGAACUUAAUUUUAAUAGUUUAUAUAUCGUCGUAGUUUUGAAUAUCUUUAGAGAGAUAAAUUAAUAUUCAUGAUUUAUAAUUAGAUAAAAUUAGAUAAAGGAAAUCAGAUCAAGGUGUAGCUUAUAGUUAAGGAGAGAUGGGUUACAAUAAAUUUAUUUAGAUGGAUAUAAUAUUUAAAAUUAUUAUUGAAAUUGGAUUUGAAAGUAAUUAAUUUUAUUUUAAAUUAGUGAUUUUAGCUCUAAAAUAUGUACAUAUCGCCCGUCGCUUUCAUUGAAAAUUAAAUUGAAAUAAGUCGUAACAUAGUGGGUGUACCGGAAGGUGUGCCUAGUUUGUU